This 21-nucleotide non-coding RNA is filed under the name Caenorhabditis elegans. The record is from RNAcentral. Lineage: Eukaryota; Metazoa; Nematoda; Chromadorea; Rhabditida; Rhabditidae.
UGCGUAAUCUCUACAGCAAUU